RNAcentral lists this ribosomal RNA (341 nucleotides) under uncultured Shigella sp. RNAcentral's name for it is "bacterial SSU rRNA". It matches the Rfam family "Bacterial small subunit ribosomal RNA", at positions 21 to 358 of the family's 1533-position model. The record is from RNAcentral. Lineage: Bacteria; Pseudomonadati; Pseudomonadota; Gammaproteobacteria; Enterobacterales; Enterobacteriaceae.
GGCUCAGGACGAACGCUGGCGGCAGGCCUAACACAUGCAAGUCGAACGGUAACAGGAAGCAGCUUGCUGUUUCGCUGACGGGUGGCGGACGGGUGAGUAAUGUCUGGGAAACUGCCUGAUGGAGGGGGAUAACUACUGGAAACGGUAGCUAAUACCGCAUAACGUCGCAAGACCAAAGAGGGGGACCUUCGGGCCUCUUGCCAUCGGAUGUGCCCAGAUGGGAUUAGCUAGUAGGUGGGGUAACGGCUCACCUAGGCGACGAUCCCUAGCUGGUCUGAGAGGAUGACCAGCCACACUGGAACUGAGACACGGUCCAGACUCCUACGGGAGGCAGCAGUAGG